This 72-nucleotide transfer RNA is filed under the name Ornithorhynchus anatinus (platypus). It matches the Rfam family "tRNA". Rfam says of the family: Transfer RNA (tRNA) molecules are approximately 80 nucleotides in length. Their secondary structure includes four short double-helical elements and three loops (D, anti-codon, and T loops). Further hydrogen bonds mediate the characteristic L-shaped molecular structure. tRNAs have two regions of fundamental functional importance: the anti-codon, which is responsible for specific mRNA codon recognition, and the 3' end, to which the tRNAs corresponding amino acid is attached (by aminoacyl-tRNA synthetases). tRNAs cope with the degeneracy of the genetic code in two manners: having more than one tRNA (with a specific anti-codon) for a particular amino acid; and 'wobble' base-pairing, i.e. permitting non-standard base-pairing at the 3rd anti-codon position. The record is from Rfam by way of RNAcentral. Lineage: Eukaryota; Metazoa; Chordata; Mammalia; Monotremata; Ornithorhynchidae.
GACAGUAUAGUCUAGUGCAAAGACCAUGGGUUUGGAAGCCAGGAGAUCUGGGUUCUAGUCUCAGCUCUGUUU